GGAAACAAUAUAGUUGUGUCAGUAGGAUGUUUCACACAGAUAAAUUUGCUGUGCUAAUUGACCCAUCAUAGGUCCAUUUUGAGAGGCGUAUGGCCUGUGACAAAAUGAGUUUCCAUGACUGUCAUCCAGAGCUCCCCACAGAAAGGAGAGCACACGUUACUUUAGGAGACAAUAAUGGCAAGCCCUGGGCUAGAAUUAAUCUAAGUUUACGUUGAUUUUUGCACUGGAUUGAGCCCUGAUAGCAGUCUACACCUGCUGUGUUCAUGACCAUGAAGAUUUUUGUGGAGUCAGACAGAUUCCCAAGAUGAUCUGCCAUUCUUAAAGCAAAGGCACAAGUUGUGAGAUGCUGAAAAGAGUUAUAACAGUCCCACAAGGAGGGGAGGCAAGAACUAUGAGCUGCAAAAAAAAAAACUGCCAAAGGUCUGUUUCAAAACCAGUUGUAGAAAAUGAUUCCUCACAUUGUGUGAACUGUGAGACUCCUCAAUACAGCAUGUUAUGAAAGGUAAGAGUUUACAUGGGUGCAGAAUAAUGGGCAUAAACAAAAAUAAAUGUGGAAUAUGGAAUGCA
RNAcentral lists this long non-coding RNA (567 nucleotides) under Anas platyrhynchos platyrhynchos (common mallard). RNAcentral's name for it is "lncRNA (ENSAPLG00000019509.1)". The record is from RNAcentral. Lineage: Eukaryota; Metazoa; Chordata; Aves; Anseriformes; Anatidae.